Rosa rugosa (rugosa rose) is the source of this 1119-nucleotide long non-coding RNA. RefSeq lists it as uncharacterized. NCBI's taxonomy places the organism in Eukaryota, Viridiplantae, Streptophyta, Magnoliopsida, Rosales, Rosaceae. The transcript has 8 exons. The record is from RefSeq and is a predicted model, not a curated record.
CUUUUUAAGGCGUGGUUCUGGUUUAGUGACCAAAAUUUUUCAGGAGGGAAUUUUUCACUUAAAUCUUAAAGUAGCGGAUUCUUAUUAAAACACGGCUUUCAAAAUGAAAUUCUUUGCCAAGCGCUAUUUUUGAUAAAAUCCUUAGUUCGGGAGACACAUCCCUCUUUAUCUUCAUCGUCCUCUUCCCUCAGUCCUCUUCUUGCCCCCAACGCCUUUGCUUCAUGGUGGGUCGAGGCCUCAAUUCGGACCACUUUCGACAGCCCGUCCGAGUCUGUGAUGGUGUUGCUCGACCUUAAUUCGCGCGAUCGUUAAUUCACGAGACAACGCUCCCAAAGUUAACCGCCGUGUUAUGGGCUUCUGGCAAUUAUGAUUGGUUUGGAUAUCAUGGAUUACAGGACCAUAUAGAGGAAGCUGAGGUGUCUUUUGCUAUGGGAAUCUGAGACUAAUUGGAAUUGCUGCUUGGAAGACCUUUCGCACUAUAGCUUAAUCUGGCUAUUCUUGCUUCUAAAAUGCCCUGUGACUCUUGAGGUGGAGUCUUUGUAUGAGCUAUAUAAGAAACUAAGCAGCACUGUAGUUAAAGAUGGGCUUAUACACAAGCUGUGUGCUUCCUCCUAUCUAUCUUCCUCUUCUAGAUGGCCUCUUGUUCUUGCAACUCAUCUUCGUCAUUCAUUCGUGAAGGGAUACAGGGGGCAGCCUUGCUAUUAAAACUGUGGAACUUCAGGACUCGGGUUCGGUCUGCUAUCUAGGGUUACCUAUUCAUAUUCAGAGUGGCCGGUUGUGCGCAAACUUUUUUUGUUUUCAUUAGAUGAUCCUCAUAGGAAAAUCUAUACAGCAAUUAGUAUGGCUGUAGCAUCAAUAGCAAGUUAUGAUUGGCCAGAAGAUUGGCCGGACUUAUUACCAUAUCUAAUGAAGUUGAUUAACAACCAAGCCAAUAUGAAUGGAGUGCAUGGAGCUCUUAGAUGCUUGGCUCUUCUCUCUGUGGACUUGGAUGAUAUAGUGGUCCCGACACUAAUUCCCGCUCGAUCUGUUCCCAUGCUUGCUUACAAUUGUAUCAUCUCCUCAGAUUAGUACCCUCUGGCUUCUUUCCCAAUUAAUUGUCUUCGAGCUCUGUUCUAUUUG